UAUGCGUGAGGCCGUUCCAUUUCGAUUUCGAGCAACCUUCAUUGACAGAAGAUAAUAUCAAGGAGCUUAUAUAUCGUGAAUCAGUCCAGUUUAACCCUCAAGAUUCUUAGUCCGAGACUUUAAAAGAGAAUCUUGACAAGAAACUCAACAAGCUCUGUUCAUAGAGAAAUUAGUUACGGACGGAAUACAUUGCUCUACGGAAUUAGUUACCUCCGGGAUAACAAAUCCCACCGUCGCCGAGCCGUCGCUUUAGCUCGCUCGUCUGUCGCAGUUUUACAGAAUUUUUAAUAAGGGGGCGAUAGUUUCUCUUAUUUCGAUUAUAACCCCCAAUCUUACUGAUUGUUCAACAUUCUGAGAAACCCUUCUUUUUGUUUCCACUAUCCUAUUUAUUGGGCUUAUUUAAAGUAUCUCGUCUCGUCUGGCUUACAAAAGCCCAAUUCAUUCGAUUAAUUAUGUUGUACGGAAAUAUUAAAUAAAAAUGAUUACAGAUCAAUUAACUCUUCUAUUUUGCAGAUUA
This is a non-coding RNA of Camelina sativa (false flax), 517 nucleotides long. The record is from RefSeq and is a predicted model, not a curated record. Lineage: Eukaryota; Viridiplantae; Streptophyta; Magnoliopsida; Brassicales; Brassicaceae.